Molecule: small RNA, 745 nt
Filed under: Pongo abelii (Sumatran orangutan)
Lineage: Eukaryota; Metazoa; Chordata; Mammalia; Primates; Hominidae
Description: retained intron
Source: RNAcentral
ACAGAAGUCCACUCAUUCUUGGCAGGAUGGCUUCUCAUCGUCUGCUCCUCCUCUGCCUUGCUGGACUGGUAUUUGUGUCUGAGGCUGGCCCUACGGGCGCUGGUGAAUCCAAGUGUCCUCUGAUGGUCAAAGUUCUAGACGCUGUCCGAGGCAGUCCUGCCGUCAAUGUGGCUGUGAAUGUGUUCAAAAAGGCUGCUGAUGAGACCUGGGAGCCAUUUGCCUCUGGGUAAGUUGCCAAACAACCCUCCCACGGGACUUGGUUUUAUCUUCCUGUUUGCCCCUCACUUGGUAGAGAGAGGCUCACAUCAUCUGCUAAAGAAUUUACAAGUAGAUUGAAAAAUGUGGGCAGAGGUCAAGUAUGCCCUCUGAAGGAUGCCCUCUUUUUGUUUUGCUUAGCUAGGAAGUGACCAGGAACCUGAGCAUCAUUUAGGGGCAGACAGUAGAGAAAAGAAGGAAUCAGAACUCCUCUCCUCUAGCUGUGGUUUACAACCUUUUGGGUCACAGACCACUUUAUGUAGGUGAUGAAAAGUAAACAUUCUAUGCCCAGAAAAAAUGCACAGAUACAUACAUACACAAAACCAUAGAUGUGAUCUUAGGAGUUUCACAGAUUCCCUGGUGUCCCUGGGUAACACCAAAGCUGAGAGUCCUUGUCUCAGAAUUUUAGGAAAGAGGUACAAUGUGUAUUAACCCAUUAACAAAAGGAAAGGAAUUCAGAAAUAUUAUUAACCAGGCAUCUGUCUGUAGU